CGAUUUUGGCCCAGGUAAAAAGGCCCAAAUAAACAGUCCGAUUACAAAAACAAAAAAAAGAAAGAGGGCCCAAACCCCAGACCCAAUUUUUGUGAAAGAACAGUGGCCCAAUAAUAUGUAGCCCAAAUGCCCAAGACGAUAGUCAGAAACCCUAGGGUUUCUAGGGAAAUCCUCAAGCGCCGCAGCCAAGCAUCCUUCAUGAUCGUAGUACCUGCACAUCAAGAAGGAAAGCAGCAGUAUAUGGAAAGGAAAAGAUUUGCAAAUCAAAUCAAUGUAAUGGAAAGAAAUCAAAAGAUUGAGAAUCAAAUCAAAGCAAAAUAUGGAAGGAAAUCAAGAGAUUGAGAAUCAAAUCAAUGUAAACAUGAUUUUAUUUCUACAUUUUUUAUAUAUUAUGGCUAUAUAAAGCCAUUGACGAUACUGUAAUGAGGGAUUGAAAAUCAAUACAAAAAAAAAAGUUAUUAUUUUCAUAGCAAAUAAAGUACCAAAGAGCAAAUAUCAAUCAAAAAAUUCAAAAGGUUGAUAGUUUUUUUUCGAACUUCAGUUUCUUUUCUAUGUAUUUUACCCGAAUCUUUUUUUCAUUUUUUUAAAUACACGAAAAGGGAGAAAAGGAAUACUUACUUGCGGGAAGGAGACGAGAAACCCCAUUUGCUCCGAUCAGAUCGGGGUUGAAGGGGCUUUGAAUCCAUUGAAACGGCGGCGGCGGUUGACUGUUGGAACCCUAGCAGAGGAGGCUAGGGUUCAUAAGUUUUGUUUUUUUGUAAAUAUGGCAGAAAGUGAUGUUUUUUUUGUUUUAAAAUGUUGCUUUUAUAAUAAAAUUGAAACGGCGCCGUUUAAGGGGGCAAGAUCCGCGCGUCGACCCGACCCGGACUCAGGAUCCGCGUGUUUUUAUGCGGAUGGGCAAAUUGCUCUUUUAGCCCCUCCGCCUUUUAAUAUAUUUUCAAUUAUUUU
RNAcentral lists this long non-coding RNA (948 nucleotides) under Gossypium raimondii (Peruvian cotton). RNAcentral's name for it is "long non-coding RNA (GRAI_LNC007820)". Lineage: Eukaryota; Viridiplantae; Streptophyta; Magnoliopsida; Malvales; Malvaceae. The record is from RNAcentral.